This 253-nucleotide ribosomal RNA is filed under the name uncultured bacterium. RNAcentral's name for it is "partial 16S ribosomal RNA". It matches the Rfam family "Bacterial small subunit ribosomal RNA", at positions 526 to 779 of the family's 1533-position model. The record is from RNAcentral.
CGGAGGAUGCGAGCGUUAUCCGGAUUUAUUGGGUUUAAAGGGAGCGCAGACGGGUUUUUAAGUCAGCUGUGAAAGUUUGGGGCUCAACCUUAAAUUGCAGUUGAUACUGGAGACCUUGAGUGCAGUUGAGGCAGGCGGAAUUCGUGGUGUAGCGGUGAAAUGCUUAGAUAUCACGAAGAACUCCGAUUGCGAAGGCAGCUUGCUAAAGUGUAACUGACGUUCAUGCUCGAAAGUGUGGGUAUCAAACAGGAUU